UGGGUUGUGGCUCAGCGGUUAGAGCAUUCGCCUGGCAUGUGCGAGGCCCUGGGUUCGAUCCUCAGCACCACAU
RNAcentral lists this transfer RNA (73 nucleotides) under Marmota monax (woodchuck). It matches the Rfam family "tRNA". From Rfam's summary of the family: Transfer RNA (tRNA) molecules are approximately 80 nucleotides in length. Their secondary structure includes four short double-helical elements and three loops (D, anti-codon, and T loops). Further hydrogen bonds mediate the characteristic L-shaped molecular structure. tRNAs have two regions of fundamental functional importance: the anti-codon, which is responsible for specific mRNA codon recognition, and the 3' end, to which the tRNAs corresponding amino acid is attached (by aminoacyl-tRNA synthetases). tRNAs cope with the degeneracy of the genetic code in two manners: having more than one tRNA (with a specific anti-codon) for a particular amino acid; and 'wobble' base-pairing, i.e. permitting non-standard base-pairing at the 3rd anti-codon position. Lineage: Eukaryota; Metazoa; Chordata; Mammalia; Rodentia; Sciuridae. The record is from Rfam by way of RNAcentral.